AAGUCUCCCUCCUCUUCUGGGCGAGUGAACUGGUCAGGAAAACUUCUCUCCUCUUUGAGGAGUUGUGAAUGUUGGUUCACCAAGAUGGACCACACCAGGAGAAGCCUAUCCAAUUGCAGCCAGGAAGGCAGGGAAAGAGAGGAUGAUGGCAAUGGCUCUGCUCAGUUCUGAGCAGCAGGAGGAAAGGGAGGUUCUGCUCCACACAUGUGCAGCUCAUGCCAUGCCCGCUCUGUGUGACAUCGGAGCUUGUGGGGACUCCGCUGCACCUGAGAGUUUCGUGCUGCAGACAUGGCAGCCACUCCUUUCAGAGACACUUGGGAGUGCACAGGCAUCCUCAGAAGUGGAAGAGGCUUAGCCAUUGCCAAGGAAGACAUCUAGUCUACAGCACAGAAGGGUAUACACGGGCAAGUGGAUGAACUGCAGGACACACAGCAGUGCAGAGACAAAUGCACCGACAGAGGAAGCAGAUUUGCAGCGUCUGAGAGCAGGUGGCAGGUCAGGCAGGAGCAAUGGGCAGAUGAUCUUCAGGGGGAUAAUAGAGCACCCAGGUAGAAGUGGCCACAGAGCCCUCAGUGCUGGUGGUGAGUGUUGCCAGAGUGGAGAGAAGUGAGGAUGAAGAGAAAUGAGAGUCUGAAGUUUUCAGAGAAGAGACAGGGGAGCUCUGGAGCUUAGGGCCUGCUGUCAUU
This 686-nucleotide long non-coding RNA is filed under the name Fukomys damarensis (Damara mole-rat). Its description in RNAcentral is "lncRNA (ENSFDAG00000029268.1)". The record is from RNAcentral. Lineage: Eukaryota; Metazoa; Chordata; Mammalia; Rodentia; Bathyergidae.